GGCUACGGCCAUACCACCCUGAACACGCGUGAAGUCGGGAGGUAAGCAGAGUUGGCCUGGUUAGGACUGGGUGGGGGACUGUGCACAGACUCAUUGGUUAUGGGACAAGGGGAGCUGGAGGAU
RNAcentral lists this ribosomal RNA (123 nucleotides) under Meriones unguiculatus (Mongolian gerbil). Lineage: Eukaryota; Metazoa; Chordata; Mammalia; Rodentia; Muridae. The record is from RNAcentral.